ACAAGGACGAUGAAGAGGCAGCUGUGCUUUCUGCUAGGGCUGCUGUGCACCCAGAUUUGCUGGGUGAAAGGGCAGCAAGUGAAGCAGAGUCCUGAGUCCUUGGUUCUGCAGGAGGGAGAGAGCACAGAGCUGCAGUGCAACUUUUCCACCGUGGCAACCCAAAUGCAGUGGUUUCACCAAAGUCCUGGGGGACACCUCAUCAGCCUGAUUUACAAUCCUUCUGGAACAAAGCAGAGUGGAAGACUGACGUCCACGACAGUAGCUAACGAAUAUCGCAGCUCUUUGUACAUUUCCUCCUGCCAGACCACAGACACAGGCACUUAUUUCUGUGCGAUAGAUACACAGUGCUCCACUCACACCUGCAGCCAGCACACAAACCUUCAGCUGGAUGGAUACCAGAUUUGCAACACCAUCCGACACAUCCCUGCAGCCCAAGGACCACUCCUCUGUGGGGAGGAGCAGUAG
Non-coding RNA from Alexandromys fortis (reed vole), 465 nucleotides. NCBI's taxonomy places the organism in Eukaryota, Metazoa, Chordata, Mammalia, Rodentia, Cricetidae. The record is from the annotation of a RefSeq genome assembly.